ACUGCUCUUAUAAAUGCAUGAUAAAUAUUUACCAUCAAAUAUAGGUAUCAUAAUAUUGCUUUACCCAUUACCUUAUUUACAUUAAUGAUAUAAACAGAUUUACUGUUAUUGUAAUAUUUCCACAGGAGUGUUGGAGGCAGCGAUGUGCCCAAUGAUACUGCUCAUCAAACUCUGAAGUCUCUGCUUGUUUUGGCUGACAGAUAAAUCUUUGAAAUCAUCCCUAAGAUUGGCAACAGCCAGAACAAUAGUGCCUGAAAUUCCCGAGCUGGAUAAGGAAAAGCGGUGGCAGAAAAGUAGGCAGUAGUGUUGAGCAGAGAGUACAUCAUUCACCUGUCAACUGUCAAUCUGCAAUAGUGAACGGUGUUUUUAUGGUGAAGAUGUGCAGCCCAACCACAGGCUAACAUAACCCACCCACAGUCUGUCACCGCUUAUCACAACCCACCAACAGCCAAUAAAAAUCCUAGCUGAGGGGUGACCAGCUGGCUGAGUCAAGUGGAGGCCUGCGAGGGGCCUUCGUCACAACCAAUCACAGAACGUUCGGCAUCGAUGUGACAUUUGGGGCGGUUCUGCCGCAGCAUGCUGCGGUGGUGGGCGGCAGCCACGCGGCACCGCGCGGCAAAACCACCCAGUGUGACACCUCCAAUUGGUUUGUGUGUGUUAUCGUAAAAGCGGCGAAACCGCUUGGCAAAACCACCUAGUGUGACACCGGCCUAAGGAUUAAUAGGAUAUUCGAUGGUCUGUAGGUGGAUGUAUACCAUGAGAAAAUCAUAGAAUCCUGCUCAAUCAACCUCCAUGGUUUGGUAUCAGUGAUGUCAUAAAUUUCUCUAAUUUGUAAUAAUAUUGUUUAUCUUGUCUCAUAGUAAACACAUUUAGUAGAUAAUUUGUGGCGCCACAUUUGGUAGUCAAUAUUGGAACCUGCCUGAGCAAAGUGUAAGUAUCACCUGUAUGAGUUCUGAUACAUGUCUCACUGUCUCAGUCUGCACCAAGCUGAUAUCUGAUAUUAUUUUUAUAUUUUUAAUGUAAUUUUUUAGGUUUACAGAGUUUUA
Long non-coding RNA from Eriocheir sinensis (Chinese mitten crab), 1046 nucleotides. RefSeq lists it as uncharacterized. The record is from RefSeq and is a predicted model, not a curated record. The transcript has 6 exons. Lineage: Eukaryota; Metazoa; Arthropoda; Malacostraca; Decapoda; Varunidae.